This 385-nucleotide ribosomal RNA is filed under the name uncultured bacterium. Its description in RNAcentral is "bacterial SSU rRNA". It matches the Rfam family "Bacterial small subunit ribosomal RNA", at positions 355 to 757 of the family's 1533-position model. The record is from RNAcentral.
UGGGGAAUCUUGGACAAUGGGCGCAAGCCUGAUCCAGCCAUGCCGCGUGAGUGAAGAAGGCCUUAGGGUUGUAAAGCUCUUUUACCAGGGACGAUAAUGACGGUACCUGGAGAAUAAGCCCCGGCAAACUUCGUGCCAGCAGCCGCGGUAAUACGAAGGGGGCUAGCGUUGUUCGGAGUUACUGGGCGUAAAGCGCACGUAGGCGGGUCGUUAAGUCAGGGGUGAAAUCCCGGAGCUCAACUCCGGAACUGCCUUUGAUACUGGCGAUCUAGAGAUCGAGAGAGGUGAGUGGAAUUCCGAGUGUAGAGGUGAAAUUCGUAGAUAUUCGGAAGAACACCAGUGGCGAAGGCGGCUCACUGGCUCGAUACUGACGCUGAGGUGCGAA